CAGUAGCCGCGGUAACACGAGGGGUGCAAGCGUUAUUCGGAUUGAUUGGGUGUAAAGGGUGUGCAGACGGCUUAUUAAGUCACUUGUUAAAUUCUUCGGCCUAACUGAAGGUCUGCAAGUGAUACUGAUGAGCUAGAGGGUGGAAGAGAGAAGUGGAAUUCUCGGAGUAGCGGUAAAAUGCGUAGAUCUCGAGAGGAACACCAAUGGCGAAGGCAGCUUCUUGGUCCAUUCCUGACGUUCAUACACGAAAGCGUGGGGAGCAAACGGGAUUAGAUACCCGCGUAGUCCCUGUCUCUUAUAC
Molecule: ribosomal RNA, 301 nt
Filed under: uncultured bacterium
Lineage: Bacteria
Description: partial 16S ribosomal RNA
Rfam family: Bacterial small subunit ribosomal RNA
Source: RNAcentral